GACCGUCUUGAAACACGGACCAAGGAGUCUAACAUCUAUGCGAGUGUUCGGGUGUCAAACCCCUACGCGUAAUGAAAGUGAACGGAGGUGAGAACCGCAAGGUGCAUCAUCGACCGAUCCUGAUGUCUUCGGAUGGAUUUGAGUAUGAGCAUAGCUGUUGGGACCCGAAAGAUGGUGAACUAUGCCUGAAUAGGGUGAAGCCAGAGGAAACUCUGGUGGAGGCUCGCAGCGGUUCUGACGUGCAAAUCGAUCGUCAAAUUUGGGUAUAGGGGCGAAAGACUAAUCGAACCAUCUAGUAGCUGGUUCCUUCCGA
Molecule: ribosomal RNA, 313 nt
Filed under: Pratylenchus curvicauda
Lineage: Eukaryota; Metazoa; Nematoda; Chromadorea; Rhabditida; Pratylenchidae
Description: partial large subunit ribosomal RNA
Rfam family: Eukaryotic large subunit ribosomal RNA
Source: RNAcentral